ACGAACGCUGGCGGCGUGCCUAAUACAUGCGAGUCGAACGAGCUCUCCCAAAUUGAUUUUAUGCUUGCAUAAAUGAUUUUUGGAUUCGGAGCGAGUGGCGAACUGGUGAGUAACACGUGGGUAACCUGCCCCGAAGCGGGGGAUAACAUUUGGAAACAAGUGCUAAUACCGCAUAAUUAGUUGGAACCGCAUGGUUCCAACUUGAAAGAUGGCUCUGCUAUCACUUUGGGAUGGACCCGCGCCGUAUUAGUUAGUUGGUGAGAUAAAAGCCCACCAAGACGAUGAUACGUAGCCGACCUGAGAGGGUAAUCGGCCACAUUGGGACUGAGACACGGCCCAGACUCCUACGGGAGGCAGCAGUAGGGAAUCUUCCACAAUGGACGAAAGUCUGAUGGAGCAACGCCGCGUGAGUGAUGAAGGUUUUCGGAUCGUAAAACUCUGUUGUUAAAGAAGAACAAGUGUUAGAGUAACUGUUAACACUUUGACGGUAUUUAACCAGAAAGCCACGGCUAACUACGUGCCAGCAGCCGCGGUAAUACGUAGGUGGCAAGCGUUGUCCGGAUUUAUUGGGGCGUAAAGCGAGCGCAGGCGGUUUUGUAAGUCUGCUGUGAAAGCCCUCAGCUCAACUGAGGAAGUGCAGUGGAAACUACAAAACUUGAGUACAGAAGAGGAAAGUGGAACUCCAUGUGUAGCGGUGAAAUGCGUAGAUAUAUGGGAAGAACACCAGUGGCGAAGGCGGCUUUCUGGUCUGUUACUGACGCUGAGGCUCGAAAGCAUGGGUAGCGAACAGGAUUAGAUACCCUGGUAGUCCAUGCCGUAAACGAUGAAUACUAGGUGUUGGAGGGUUUCCGCCCUUCAGUGCCGCAGCUAACGCAUUAAGUAUUCCGCCUGGGGAGUACGACCGCAAGGUUGAAACUCAAAGGAAUUGACGGGGGCCCGCACAAGUGGUGGAGCAUGUGGUUUAAUUCGAUGCUACGCGAAGAACCUUACCAGCUCUUGACAUCUUCUGCCAACCCAAGAGAUUGGGCGUUCCCUUCGGGGACAGAAUGACAGGUGGUGCAUGGUUGUCGUCAGCUCGUGUCGUGAGAUGUUGGGUUAAGUCCCGCAACGAGCGCAACCCUUAUUAUUAGUUGCCAGCAUUUAGUUGGGCACUCUAGUGAGACUGCCGGUGAUAAACCGGAGGAAGGUGGGGACGACGUCAAAUCAUCGUGCCCCUUAUGAGCUGGGCUACACACGUGCUACAAUGGAUGGUACAACGAGUCGCGAAACCGCGAGGUCAAGCUAAUCUCUUAAAGCCAUUCUCAGUUCGGAUUGCAGGCUGCAACUCGCCUGCAUGAAGUUGGAAUCACUAGUAAUCGUGGAUCAGCAUGCCACGGUGAAUACGUUCCCGGGC
RNAcentral lists this ribosomal RNA (1393 nucleotides) under uncultured Bacilli bacterium. RNAcentral describes it as "bacterial SSU rRNA". It matches the Rfam family "Bacterial small subunit ribosomal RNA", at positions 29 to 1379 of the family's 1533-position model. The record is from RNAcentral. Lineage: Bacteria; Bacillati; Bacillota; Bacilli.